GAAGGCGAAGAAGUCCAAAUGUUGCUCUGGUCUGGAUUAAGUCCUCUGUUUAUAAAUCUGCUGCAGAGAAAAGAAGAGAUUGAGUGAGGAGUGCAGCAGGUGAGGAGGCUUUCAUCUCUAUCCAAAUGCAUUGUGGGACAAGCGCAGGUUUCCCUGAGAACUGGGACACGGAGAGAUCAGACUACAGCAGACUGGAAGAUCAGUUGCUGUGUUUCCUCGCCGCCGCCUGUCAGUCAGAGCUCGCUGUGGCUCAGAUGAUUCGCUGUGAAAUGGACGGACGGCGUGCGUGAUGAUGGAUCUCGUGUAUUCCCGCCACACGCUCCGUGUGCCUCUUUGAAGUCCGAGACGUGCAGACGAAGAGCAGAAAAUUAAUGCGGCCAAGUGAAGAAUCAAACAACGGCGUCCAUCAGGAUUCAGGCCUGAAGCUUUAAAGUCGGACACGUUGGAAUACAUAUAUACAGCCUUCAGUAAACUCACAUUAGCAACAGUCAUUGUGUCUUUAAGGCAUUUUUUAUUGUCAAUUAAGGUUGUAGAAUGAAUUUUAGGUAGAGUUCCCUUUAUGCUACUAGGAAUUGUCUUUUUUAAUAAUUAAUGAGAAAAAUUAUUAAUUUGUACUGUAAAAAAAACUAUUAAAAGAACUGUAAAUAAAACUAAUAUUCCAGCAGCUGGGCACCAAAACAUACUGUUAAAUAAAAAAAUUAUACGUAUUUUACUGCUAAUUUUACAUUAUUUAAUCACAGAUAAGAAAACAAUAAUCUGAAUUAUCUGUAAUAAAAGUCAUUAUGUGUGAAAUUAAUAAUUUCUUCGCUGCUAUUUAUUGUUUUAAACAGUUAAAUUCAAGUUUAAUACUGUUGUGUGUGUAAUUUUACACCAUACAACAAUUUAUCAGUGUAUAAGCAUUGGUAAACUGUCAAAAUACAGUUUCUAAUCAGUGAAAACAGCAAUUAUUACUGUAUUUCACUGAUAAUGACUUUUAUUACAGUUCUGUAACUUUUAAUAAAUAAUAACAGCAAUCUGCUGUAAAUUUAAGCUGAUUGUUUGUAUUAUAGCAGCCUGUAUUUAUAGCUGUAUGUACAGCAUUGUUUGUACAGUGUAAAUAUCUUUAAUUCAACAUUGCAUCAUGGUGCGUCUGUAUGAGCAGUUCCAGUCUUUAGAUCGAUCCUCCGUCCACAGAGACUGAAUAGAGACUAAAGGUUACUGCUGGAGGAGGAGCAGAGAGACGAGCGACAGACUGCAGAUGUUGACCCAGUACGAGUCUGAUUUCCUUCACAAUCUUCUUGUUCGUGUUUUCUCUCUUUACAUAUUUCACUAAUUUCACACUGCUUGCAUUAUAUUUCACUCACCAGACGUUUGUUCCGGGUCUCCUCUCUAAUUAGCUGCUUAAUUGGAAAAUGAAGGCUUUGCUGUUUGUUUCGCAGCUCGCGGCAGUUUGAAAAGUCAAGAAAAGAGUCUGAGAAAAGGAGAAUUGUUACUCUUUGUGUUGAGAAUAUACAGACGAGAGCAGCCCAUCCAUAAAAUGAAAGCAGUCACAGAAUCUGAGGUUUUUGCUAAUUUAAUAGCAUAAAAUUAGAAUAGUGCUUUUUAGCUAUUAGGAGCCCAGCAAGGCAAACAGUUACGCUGGGUCAUUUCUAAUCAUCAAUCUGAGUCGUUAUAUAGAAAAAAUAAAGGAAUAGUUAUUGAUGAGUGUCCUGAAAGAUACAGCUACCUUAUUGAAUCUCAUAUUUCUGCCGUCUGUCCAAUGUGACGUUACUAUAAACUAAUUCCAUGGCUUGUGUUUAUUAAUCAACCCUUUACUACGAGACCGAGAAUAAAGAAUAAGAAUAAAACAGGAGGGUUUAUCUCCACUUCCUGUUACUUUCUGCUGUUUACAAGGUUCAUUAUUAGAAGGUAGGUCAGCUCAGUUUAUGGGAAUUAUUAAGGUUCAAAUCCCCUCUGCUCCACACUGUCACACCAAACUCCAUUCAAAAAAUGUCUGUUUUAAGGAAGUAAAACCUUUAUUUCCACCAUCAGUGAGACUCUGAUUCUCUUCAAUCCACAGACACAAUCUGCUCACAUUGACUCAGUAACAUCAUUAACUAACCUGUGAGGAAGAGUUGGACACAGAACAGUAUUUUAAAUAUGCACUGAUUGUCGAUGAAGACCUGAAUGAUUCUUACACACAGAACUAAAAUGUGCGUCAUACGUUGACCCCGAACUCGCCUUUAAGCCCCACAUUGAUUUGACAUUAUAAAAAGAACAUGUGGUCGCCUCAUUUCACGUUAUCGGUCAAUUCACUGCUCAGAAGAAUAAUAAUUUAUCAGCUGAUACGACCUAUUAUUGAUUAUGCUGACAAUGUCUGUCAGAACACUUCUAAAUAUGUAUCUCAAACCCUUUAAGGCUUUAUAUAAUAAAAUAAUAAAAUAAAAGUAACAUGACCACCGCCGACUACGUGACAUAUUUUAUGUGUAUUUCCUAUUUUAUUCAACACAUACAAACACAAACAAGAUUUGAAUGAAUUUUGAUUGUUUCCUGUGAAUAUUGAUCACAGAUGAGUUUUUCUGAUAUUUUCAGGAUUUCUUUUAACAAUUCUCAUUCUUCAUUGUUUUGAACAAUCAUACAUAUACACAUACAAACAGGCUUCUUUUAUUGACAAAUGUAGUGUUUUCUUGUCCCUGUUGGACCGUUGUUGUAAUGCAGGAUGAGGCAGUUUGAAGUCUCUGUGAAUAAUGAAACUUUCUAUCUUAAAUAAAAAUGUAAACUUAACCAACUUAAAAUAAUUAAAUUUUCUUCACAUAAAUGAACUAAAUGCUGAGAUAUAUUCCUACUGUAUUUUUAUAGUCUUCUUACAUGCCUUACAAGGCCUCGCGACGCCCUGUGAGUGAACCACUGCUUCAAUGUAUGAAUCACCUGACUGGUUGCAGCCCAGAUACAGAAGAUAAUGUCAGAUGUCUUUAUUUUAUCUGAAACAUGUUGAUCUUCAUAUCCAGUUAGACACAUGCAGCCUCUUUUUCCAGACAUUUCAAAAUAAAGCUCCAUCUGACAGCAAUAAUCUUCCACUAUUUAUCUUUUCUCACCUGAAAACAACUUUUAUGCUUUUAGUUUUUAUUUACUUAAUAAUCUUCAGUACUCUUUGUUUCUUAUCCAGUUUUCUUUCUGUUGAGUAGUGUUGGGAGUGUGGGAGGGAAGGGGUGAGCAAGUUGUCUGUAUCUGUGUAUCUGCAGUCUAUGUUGGUUAUGUAAUGCAGUUUUUGUUUGAUGCUGCAUCUCAAGGGAUUAUCCUUUCAAUAACCUCAAAUAAAAGUCUUGGAGGAAAAUAGAGAUUUUAAUAGUGUUUGUUUACUUUCACCACCAACGCUGCUGCAUUACCAAUAUUUAUUAAGGUAUAUAUUAGCAUUAUAAUUAAGGCCCAAAUAUGUUUGUGUAUGUAUGCUAUUAUUAUUUUAUUCCCCAAUGAAACACAUUUUUGGAGGCAGCAACAGGCUUGAAAACUUGCGGUCGCAAAGUUCAAAGGUCGCAGUAAGUUACGUAUUCUGUGGGUCUCUCACACGCAGGCAAGUUUUACCGAUCUGUAUGAAAAUCAAUAUGCACAUGUAUAGAUGUCCAGACAAACAAAAAAGCCUCUUUGGCCCCAAACCCAACAGGAAGUCCUUUUUUUUUUUACUUCGUGGUCAUUUUGGCAAUUUUGUGCAUUGUAUUUUAACGAACUCCUCCUAGGGAAUUGAUCGGAUUGGCUUCAGAUUUCGUCAUUGCGAUCUAAACACCACCGCGAUUAAAAUAUGUGCUCUUUGUGUCGGCGGUUGUCUCCGUGGCUUGGGCGUCAAAUUUUAAACGCGUCUAUAAGCCAAUAUUCAGACAUAGUCAUAGCGCCUUCUACUGGAAACAGGAAGUGAGGCUUGUGUGGCAAUUUUUGUAGAUUUCUGAGCUCAAAUGUCUCUUUUGAAAUUAAAGGUUGCUGACCCCCACAGUAGGAACAAAAGGGGGUGUGGUCGUUCUGAACACAGAAAGUGACGUGUGCCUGCUCUCAUACAUAAAUCGACCUGUAACAAGAUGGUAUUAUUGCUUUUACUGAAGUAAAGGAUGAAUACCUCCGCCACCAUGGAGAUGCUGUCACAGCUUCCAUACUUCAGCUUUCUGUUGGUACAUCUGAUCCCGUUUGCUCUUGUUUGUCAUUAAUGAACUUUUUCACAGUCGGCGGCUCGGAGGCAAAACUCCAGCAGCAGUAAAUAAAACAACGGACCGCACAUGGGAACGCUCCAUUGCUCACUCUGAUCCGCGCGCCGCUUAUUCAUUUUAAAUCACAGCCGACGCUCGGCGAGUCUCCACACGCCAUUACCCAGCAGCCCCCGCGGCGCGGCUCUGACAGGAGGACUCACACAGAGAACGGGGUCGACUCAUUAACCGCCCGGAAGCUGGUUCGUGAUCUCGUGCUGAAAUUCACACAACAGACGGAACGAGACCAAGUCUAUUUGUCUCCAUUAACAUCUGGUUAUAAACACACACACACACACACACACACACACACACACACACACACACACACACACACACAGCUUCCUGUUGACUUUCUGAUUGGUUCGAGCUUCCUGAGCUUUCAACCACUGUGAGGACAACCUUCACACUGAGUCUCUCUGAAGUCUGCAGCAAGAGAUCUGGAUUUUAGUCGAUACACUUUUGAUUUGUCGAGUUCAGACUGAAAAUCUGUUACAACCAUUAUGUUAAUCUCAGAUUCAAAUAUAUAUAAAUAGUUAUAGUUACUUCUCUCAUAAGAAACUGAAUUAUGUUAUCAAUUAAAGCUGCGAGCAGCAACAAACUGGCCCUCGUGUGUCGACCACACGGACAAAAUUUCACUUAUGAUGUUUUUCAUCAACAACUUUCACUCCAGUAGGUGGUGCUACAACUAUGACUAAAUAUUGUGUUCAGGGCCGGACUGACAUCAGACAGGAAGCUUGGACACUGAAGUUAUGACAACUUCCUGUUUAAUGACGAAACAUCGAAAUUAGCCACACCACGGGCACGCCGUUGCACACAUUGUAAUCGUGAUGCUCUUCAAAUCUGAAGUCAAUCCAAUCAAUUCCCUAAGAGGAGUUUGUUAAAAUACAACACAUGCAAAUCUCCAGAAAUUACCACUUAAUUCAAAUGGCCGACUUCCUGUGGGGUUCGGGGUUUGUGAGAUAGAAUACGUACAUUAACGCCACACAGCAUCCAAAAAUAUGAUCCUGCUGGCAGAAUAAUAAUCAUUCCUUACAUUUCAAUACGGUCACUGCUGAAAAAGUCAAAAAGUAAUUCCCGGGAGGAAGUGGUAAUAUUUAGACUUGGUGGAGAACCAAGAGGGAGCAGCUGAAACUGAACUCUGAUGCACCAAAACGCCGUCGGCGAGCGGCUCAAUGAACCAAUAAAGACUCGCUCAUCAGUGCUGAAUACAGAACGCCGUCAUUAUGUGUGCAAAUGAAGCUAUUAUCUGACUGCACUCCGGAUAAGUCACUCAUGUUCUGCUCUCUACACUUUUUCAGGUCUCCUGAGGCAGCAGUGGCAAUGGUGGCGCCCGGAGGCCAGCGAGCGGUUCUGAAAGGGACAGUCAGUUCAGUCAUAUCAUGGCAGAGGCCUUGGAGGGGAGCGGCUCUGCAGCUGUCAGUGGGAAUAAAACAGAAGAGAGUUUGGGUGGCAAGGAGGAGAGUUGAGGGUGGUGGCGGCCGGCAGGUUCCAGCUAAUGAGGCGAGAACAGCUUCAGAGGGCAAGAGCGAGGAAGCUGGGCAGCGAGGGAGAAAAUGAAAGAAAGAGAGAGAACGACAGAGGAGAAUAAUAAAAGAGUCGGAGAAGUGGCGGCGCGAAGCGUGCAGAGGUGAUGCACACCCAGAGGGAACCCUCCUGCUUCAUGCAAACGUCGGUCCAAUCAGAUUCCACUGCGAUUUGGUCGGUGGCGUGCGGCAGGGGAAAUCAGCCACUUCCAGUUAAAGCUCCCAGAGCUCCUCAACCUUCGUGUUUGUUUCGGAGGAAAAAAGAUGUCCUGCUUUACAUGGAAACAUCCAGCAGCAAAUCAAACUCUACAAUGUGAUUGUUUCAAGGUUUAAAAUGCUUUUCUUCAGGAGGAACAAAGCGCAGUAAAAACAGCUGAUUAAAGACAGGAAGUACAAAGCCCUCAGGAGCUCUUCACUUUAGAGAACUUCUGCAUGCGGCACAGAGAGAACAUGGUCUACUACGUGUCUUAUUAUCAUCAGAACAAAAAGUUUUAUCACUUCACAGAAACUUUGCUGUGAACCUGUGAGCAGGUUUUUGGAGAAGCGGAUGCAGACAGUCUCAUUUGAGAGUUAAUGUGAAUGAAUUAAGAUGCUCUGAGACCCGAUCGCUCAGAACCACAUUCAGAGGUCUGAGAUCUGGAAAUUCUGUUGAUUGUGAACAAGAAUGUGUCGUGUAGGAAUGGUUAGACUCAUCGAUUACACCAAUUAUAAAGUCAAAAUGUAUAUUUUUAUCUCUGUAUUGUGCUGUCAUCUCCAGUUUCUGUCCAACAGGGACAGGAAGUUCUGUUUCCGGUAUUCUUUAUGAUAUUUUAAAGUUUCAUGAAAAACAAUAAAAGUAGUUGAUGACUAA
Long non-coding RNA from Dicentrarchus labrax (European seabass), 6563 nucleotides. RefSeq lists it as uncharacterized. The record is from RefSeq and is a predicted model, not a curated record. The transcript has 2 exons. NCBI's taxonomy places the organism in Eukaryota, Metazoa, Chordata, Actinopteri, Moronidae.